This 73-nucleotide transfer RNA is filed under the name Canis lupus familiaris (dog). It matches the Rfam family "tRNA". From Rfam's summary of the family: Transfer RNA (tRNA) molecules are approximately 80 nucleotides in length. Their secondary structure includes four short double-helical elements and three loops (D, anti-codon, and T loops). RNAcentral also lists the same sequence under 1 other name. Lineage: Eukaryota; Metazoa; Chordata; Mammalia; Carnivora; Canidae. The record is from Rfam by way of RNAcentral.
ACCUAGGUGGCUCAGUCGGUGGAGCAUGGGACUCUUGAUCUUGGGGUCAUGAGAUCAAGCCUCACAUUAGGUG